RNAcentral lists this ribosomal RNA (201 nucleotides) under uncultured bacterium. Its description in RNAcentral is "partial 16S ribosomal RNA". It matches the Rfam family "Bacterial small subunit ribosomal RNA", at positions 335 to 530 of the family's 1533-position model. The record is from RNAcentral.
CUAGUACGGGAGGCAGCAGUAGGGAAUCUUCCGCAAUGGGCGAAAGCCUGACGGAGCAACGCCGCGUGAGUGAAGAAGGAUUUCGGUUCGUAAAGCUCUGUUAAUCGGGACGAAAGGUCCUCUUGCGAAUAGUUAGAGGAAUUGACGGUACCGGAAUAGAAAGCCACGGCUAACUACGUGCCAGCAGCCGCGGUAAUCUAG